UGAACAAAGUGGGUGGAAUGUU
This 22-nucleotide small nuclear RNA is filed under the name Arabidopsis thaliana (thale cress). RNAcentral's name for it is "snRNA_10359". Lineage: Eukaryota; Viridiplantae; Streptophyta; Magnoliopsida; Brassicales; Brassicaceae. The record is from RNAcentral.